RNAcentral lists this ribosomal RNA (1709 nucleotides) under metagenome. RNAcentral describes it as "bacterial LSU rRNA". It matches the Rfam family "Bacterial large subunit ribosomal RNA", at positions 1219 to 2907 of the family's 2925-position model. The record is from RNAcentral.
CGUUGUUGGGUAGGGGAGCGUUCUGUAAGCCUGCGAAGGUGUGCUGUGAGGCAUGCUGGAGGUAUCAGAAGUGCGAAUGCUGACAUAAGUAACGAUAAAGCGGGUGAAAAGCCCGCUCGCCGGAAGACCAAGGGUUCCUGUCCAACGUUAAUCGGGGCAGGGUGAGUCGACCCCUAAGGCGAGGCCGAAAGGCGUAGUCGAUGGGAAACAGGUUAAUAUUCCUGUACUUGGUGUUACUGCGAAGGGGGGACGGAGAAGGCUAUGUUGGCCGGGCGACGGUUGUCCCGGUUUAAGCGUGUAGGCUGGUUUUCCAGGCAAAUCCGGAAAAUCAAGGCUGAGGCGUGAUGACGAGGCACUACGGUGCUGAAGCAACAAAUGCCCUGCUUCCAGGAAAAGCCUCUAAGCAUCAGGUAACAUCAAAUCGUACCCCAAACCGACACAGGUGGUCAGGUAGAGAAUACCAAGGCGCUUGAGAGAACUCGGGUGAAGGAACUAGGCAAAAUGGUGCCGUAACUUCGGGAGAAGGCACGCUGAUAUGUAGGUGAGGUCCCUCGCGGAUGGAGCUGAAAUCAGUCGAAGAUACCAGCUGGCUGCAACUGUUUAUUAAAAACACAGCACUGUGCAAACACGAAAGUGGACGUAUACGGUGUGACGCCUGCCCGGUGCCGGAAGGUUAAUUGAUGGGGUUAGCGCAAGCGAAGCUCUUGAUCGAAGCCCCGGUAAACGGCGGCCGUAACGAUAACGGUCCUAAGGUAGCGAAAUUCCUUGUCGGGUAAGUUCCGACCUGCACGAAUGGCGUAAUGAUGGCCAGGCUGUCUCCACCCGAGACUCAGUGAAAUUGAACUCGCUGUGAAGAUGCAGUGUACCCGCGGCAAGACGGAAAGACCCCGUGAACCUUUACUAUAGCUUGACACUGAACAUUGAGCCUUGAUGUGUAGGAUAGGUGGGAGGCUUUGAAGUGUGGACGCCAGUCUGCAUGGAGCCGACCUUGAAAUACCACCCUUUAAUGUUUGAUGUUCUAACGUUGACCCGUAAUCCGGGUUGCGGACAGUGUCUGGUGGGUAGUUUGACUGGGGCGGUCUCCUCCUAAAGAGUAACGGAGGAGCACGAAGGUUGGCUAAUCCUGGUCGGACAUCAGGAGGUUAGUGCAAUGGCAUAAGCCAGCUUGACUGCGAGCGUGACGGCGCGAGCAGGUGCGAAAGCAGGUCAUAGUGAUCCGGUGGUUCUGAAUGGAAGGGCCAUCGCUCAACGGAUAAAAGGUACUCCGGGGAUAACAGGCUGAUACCGCCCAAGAGUUCAUAUCGACGGCGGUGUUUGGCACCUCGAUGUCGGCUCAUCACAUCCUGGGGCUGAAGUAGGUCCCAAGGGUAUGGCUGUUCGCCAUUUAAAGUGGUACGCGAGCUGGGUUUAGAACGUCGUGAGACAGUUCGGUCCCUAUCUGCCGUGGGCGCUGGAGAACUGAGGGGGGCUGCUCCUAGUACGAGAGGACCGGAGUGGACGCAUCACUGGUGUUCGGGUUGUCAUGCCAAUGGCACUGCCCGGUAGCUAAAUGCGGAAGAGAUAAGUGCUGAAAGCAUCUAAGCACGAAACUUGCCCCGAGAUGAGUUCUCCCUGACCCUUUAAGGGUCCUGAAGGAACGUUGAAGACGACGACGUUGAUAGGCCGGGUGUGUAAGCGCAGCGAUGCGUUGAGCUAACCGGUACUAAUGA